This 368-nucleotide ribosomal RNA is filed under the name uncultured eukaryote. RNAcentral's name for it is "partial 18S ribosomal RNA". It matches the Rfam family "Eukaryotic small subunit ribosomal RNA", at positions 592 to 976 of the family's 1831-position model. The record is from RNAcentral.
CAGUAGCGUAUAUUAAAGUUGUUGCAGUUAAAAUGCUCGUAGUUGAAGUUCGGAUGCAGCAGAGCUUGGAAACGCUGUUAUGGUGCUUCCGUUGCUUUUGCUUGUCCACAGUGCGUUGCAAGUACGUAUGUGCUUGUGCGUGCAUUUUACUUUGAGAAACAUAGGGUGUUCCACGCAUGUUACGGCAUGAAGAUUCCAGCAUGGGAUAAUCUGGUACGACUUCCAAUCUGCCAUUUUGGUUCGUAGGUUGGAAGUAAUGAUUAAUAGGGACUGUCGGGGGCAUUGGUAUUUGACUGUCAGAGGUGAAAUUCUUAGAUUCGUUGAGGACCAACCACUGCGAAAGCAUUUGUCAAGGAUGUCUCCAUUAA